AACGAACGCUGGCGGCGCGCCUAAUACAUGCAAGUCGAGCGAGAAGGUGUAGCAAUACACUUGUAAAGCGGCGAACGGGUGAGGAAUGCAUGGGUAACCUACCCUCGAGUGGGGAAUAACUAGCCGAAAGGUUAGCUAAUACCGCAUACGUUUCCGGAACUUCGGUUUCGGAAAGAAAGCAAUACCGUGGGUAUUGCGCUCCUGGAUGGGCUCAUGUCCUAUCAGCUUGUUGGUGAGGUAACGGCUCACCAAGGCUUCGACGGGUAGCUGGUCUGAGAGGACGAUCAGCCACACUGGCACUGCGACACGGGCCAGACUCCUACGGGAGCAGCAGUAAGGAAUAUUGCGCAAUGGACGAAAGUCUGACGCAGCGACGCCGCGUGGGGGGAUGAAGGUCUUCGGAUUGUAAACCCCUUUCGGGAGGGAAGAUGGAGUGGGUAACCACUUGGACGGUACCUCCAGAGCAGCCACGGCUAACUUCGUGCCAGCAGCCGCGGUAAU
Molecule: ribosomal RNA, 501 nt
Filed under: uncultured bacterium
Lineage: Bacteria
Description: bacterial SSU rRNA
Rfam family: Bacterial small subunit ribosomal RNA
Source: RNAcentral